Molecule: long non-coding RNA, 164 nt
Organism: Thalassophryne amazonica
Lineage: Eukaryota; Metazoa; Chordata; Actinopteri; Batrachoidiformes; Batrachoididae
Exons: 4
Source: RefSeq, a predicted model, not a curated record
ACAAUGGUGUUCCAGCAGUUUCCAGUUGAUGGCAUGCCUGAGCCUUGGUGGUUCCUGGGUUGUUCCUGAACAUCCUAACCAAUUUCAUCUCAUCUGAGGUUGAUAGUUUAGGUCGUCUUCCAGACCUUGGAAAAUUGGUUAUAUCUACAAAAAACCUGCAAUGC